CCGAGUACUGGCCGAAGGCAUGCAGGCUGCGGCCCGGCGAGCCCUGGUCGUUCCACACGGCCUGGUCGACC
RNAcentral lists this transfer RNA (71 nucleotides) under Pseudomonas putida. Its description in RNAcentral is "tRNA-Arg". The record is from RNAcentral. Lineage: Bacteria; Pseudomonadati; Pseudomonadota; Gammaproteobacteria; Pseudomonadales; Pseudomonadaceae.